Molecule: ribosomal RNA, 496 nt
Filed under: uncultured bacterium
Lineage: Bacteria
Description: partial 16S ribosomal RNA
Rfam family: Bacterial small subunit ribosomal RNA
Source: RNAcentral
GAUGAACGCUGGCGGCGUGCCUAAUACAUGCAAGUCGAGCGAACGGACGAGAAGCUUGCUUCUCUGAUGUUAGCGGCGGACGGGUGAGUAACACGUGGAUAACCUACCUAUAAGACUGGGAUAACUUCGGGAAACCGGAGCUAAUACCGGAUAAUAUUUUGAACCGCAUGGUUCAAAAGUGAAAGACGGUCUUGCUGUCACUUAUAGAUGGAUCCGCGCUGCAUUAGCUAGUUGGUAAGGUAACGGCUUACCAAGGCAACGAUGCAUAGCCGACCUGAGAGGGUGAUCGGCCACACUGGAACUGAGACACGGUCCAGACUCCUACGGGAGGCAGCAGUAGGAAAUCUUCCGCAAUGGGCGAAAGCCUGACGGAGCAACGCCGCGUGAGUGAUGAAGGUCUUCGGAUCGUAAAACUCUGUUAUUAGGGAAGAACAUAUGUGUAAGUAACUGUGCACAUCUUGACGGUACCUAAUCAGAAAGCCACGGCUAACUACGU